CGGGACACGUGGUAUCCUGUCUGAAUAUGGGGGGACCAUCCUCCAAGGCUAAAUACUCCUGACUGACCGAUAGUGAACCAGUACCGUGAGGGAAAGGCGAAAAGAACCCCGGCGAGGGGAGUGAAAAAGAACCUGAAACCGUGUACGUACAAGCAGUGGGAGCCUCUUAAUGGGGUGACUGCGUACCUUUUGUAUAAUGGGUCAGCGACUUAUAUUCUGUAGCAAGGUUAACCGAAUAGGGGAGCCGAAGGGAAACCGAGUCUUAACUGGGCGUUAAGUUGCAGGGUAUAGACCCGAAACCCGGUGAUCUAGCCAUGGGCAGGUUGAAGGUUGGGUAACACUAACUGGAGGACCGAACCGACUAAUGUUGAAAAAUUAGCGGAUGACUUGUGGCUGGGGGUGAAAGGCCAAUCAAACCGGGAGAUAGCUGGUUCUCCCCGAAAGCUAUUUAGGUAGCGCCUCGUGAAUUCAUCUCCGGGGGUAGAGCACUGUUUCGGCAAGGGGGUCAUCCCGACUUACCAACCCGAUGCAAACUGCGAAUACCGGAGAAUGUUAUCACGGGAGACACACGGCGGGUGCUAACGUCCGUCGUGAAGAGGGAAACAACCCAGACCGCCAGCUAAGGUCCCAAAGUCAUGGUUAAGUGGGAAA
This 651-nucleotide ribosomal RNA is filed under the name Escherichia coli. Its description in RNAcentral is "partial 23S ribosomal RNA". It matches the Rfam family "Bacterial large subunit ribosomal RNA", at positions 418 to 1070 of the family's 2925-position model. The record is from RNAcentral. Lineage: Bacteria; Pseudomonadati; Pseudomonadota; Gammaproteobacteria; Enterobacterales; Enterobacteriaceae.